GUGGUUUUCUGGAGAGUCCAGACUGUAGACUGGAGACUCUGAGAUUGAGUUGGUGCAGUUUGUCAAAGAUCAGCUGUGAUUCUCUGGUCUCAGCUCUGAAGUCCAACCCCUCCCAUCUGAAACAUCUGGACCUGAAUGGAAACUACUUGUUAGAUCCAGGAGUGAAACAUCUGUGUGGUUUUCUGGAGAGUCCAGACUGUAGACUGGAGACUCUGGGAUUGAAUACCUGCAGGUUGUCAGAGAUCAGCUGUGAUUCUCUGGUCUCAGCUCUGAA
Long non-coding RNA from Mugil cephalus (flathead mullet), 274 nucleotides. RefSeq lists it as uncharacterized. Lineage: Eukaryota; Metazoa; Chordata; Actinopteri; Mugiliformes; Mugilidae. The transcript has 3 exons. The record is from RefSeq and is a predicted model, not a curated record.